Molecule: long non-coding RNA, 3066 nt
Organism: Cornus florida
Lineage: Eukaryota; Viridiplantae; Streptophyta; Magnoliopsida; Cornales; Cornaceae
Exons: 6
Source: RefSeq, a predicted model, not a curated record
GACUUCAUAGUCUAAAAAUUGGAGUACUCAAUUUUUAAACUUGUUACUAGCCUGCCACCAGUACCCAUCACCCAUGUGAUCCACACACCCUUUUUCUCAUCAGCCCACAUUCAUCAUAGUCCAAAAACUUAGGCUGUCUCAGUCUGAAUAUCCACGUGAUGCACUGAUACACAACAAAAAUUGAAACCCACUUCUCACUCUUCAAUUCUCAGAUCUGAGAUCUCAUAUUCAUGAUUUUACCAUUUGACUGAAGAAAUUGACUCACCUCCGAGGGUCACUCAUGUUUUUGGCUCUCAAGAUGAGUUUAUUUGCUUGAUUACUUCCCUAUCCCUUUAGCAAAAAUAGGUGGAAAGAUCCGUUGCAGAAUCAUUGAUUUUGUGUCCGAAUCAGGGGGUCAAACAGGGAAUCUUACUUUCUCAAUUUCUCUGCUCACACAACUGGUUCGGUUGCUCGUUUUGCCCGACAACAAUGCCGAUCAUCUUCUUUAAUGUCUGAAAAUAUGCAAAAUGAGACUCCAAUCAUUAAUAUUGAGGGUAAUGAGGCUGAUGAGCUGAGCAAAGCAUUUGAAAAAGCCAAAAGGAAGAGAACAUCUCUUGUUUGGAAAGAGUUUGAGGAUGUUAUUCUUGCGGAUGGUUCUUUAAAGGCAAGAUGCAUCUAUUGCAAAGCUCGACUCUAAAAAAAUGACAAGGGUUCUACCACUCAAUUUCAUCGACACUUGAAUGUUUGUCCACAUUGCCAACUAUUUGAUAAGAGGCAAAAGAUACUGUCAGCAAACAAGCUUGGGUCCAAAGGGGAAGGAAAUCUUACAAAUUUCAAGUAUAACCAUACAAGAGUUAGGGAAGUUGCAGCUCAUAUGGUCUUUGUGCAUGAAUAUCCAUUUAAUAUGAUGGAGCAUGAGUUGUUUAAUGAAUUUAUGAGAACUGCAGCUCCAUAUUAUCAAAAGAUUUCACGCACCACAUUGAAAAAUGAUUGCAUGGCUACUUAUGAAUUUGAAAAGAUAAGAUUGAAAGGAUUUUUAAAGGAUGUCAACAGAGUUAGCCUCAGGGAGAUUGCUGAAGAUCUGAACAACAAAUUGGAUAUAUGGUCAUUACAUGCCACUUCGUUGAUUUUGAUUGGAAGCUACAAAUAUGUAUUUUGAGCUGUUGUGACGUGCCUCCUCCACACACUGGACUCGUCAUAUAUGAUGUUAUUUCUCAGUGUUUAAUUGAUUGGGGAAUUGAAAACAAAGUGUCAAGUAUAACAUUUAACAAUGCAACUAACAAUGAUGCAGUUGUGAGGAUUUUAAAAGACAACUUUUGUUUGAAAGACGGACUUUUCUUAAGUGGAAAGAUAUUUCAUGUACGAUGUUGUGCACACAUAUUAAACCUUAUUGUGCAGGAUGGGUUGGAUGAAAGUCCACUGUCAUUGAGAACAUUCGUGAGAGUGUGAAGUACUUGAAAGCGUCAAAGGCACGUCUAUUGAAGUUUGCAGAAAUUGUGAAACAACUACAGCCAGCUGAAAAAAAAUAGAUUUUAGAUGUUCCAACAUGUUGGGAUUCAACUUAUGAAAUGUUAGCUACAACAAUAAAGUAUAAGGAAGUUUUUCCAAGGUAUCAUGAUAGGGAUCCAAGUUACCGGUGGUUGCCAUCUUUUGUUGACUGAGAGAGAGCGGAAGAAGUGUGUAAGUUUUUAGGAGUGUUUGAAUAUGUCAUAAAAAUUAUAUCAGGAAGUGACUAUCCAACAUCAAACUUAAUUAUGACUGAAAUUUUGAGGGUAAAAUAAUUAUUGGAUCAAAAGUCUAUUAAUAAAAAUAUUUAUAUUCAAGCAAUGGCUGAUAGGAUAAAGAAGAAGUUUGACAAGUAUUGGGGUGAUUGUAAUUUCCUCAUGGCCAUUGGUGCUAUUUUGGAUCCAAGAUACAAGAUGAAGCUGAUUGAAUUUUGAUUUCCUAAGAUCUACAAUGAGAUUGAAGCAUCUAAACACAUCACCUCAAUUCGUGAGGCGUUAUAUGAAAUCUUCAACGAUUAUGUUACUAAUUAUUCUUCAAGUAACAACAUAGAAAGUCUGUAUGUGAAAGCUCAAGAGGGUGGUUCUAGUGAUGGUGGGAUUGGUACUUCGGAGGGAAAUAGCAACUCAAGUGGCAAAAAUGAGUUUGAUCUAUUUGUUAGAAGAACUGAAAAUAUUCAACCUACAAAAUCGGACUUGAUAUAUAUCUUGAAGGCGGUGUCUUCAUUUGUAAUGGGAAUUCAGCUUCACACUUUUAUGCUUUAGAAUGGUUGAAGGCUAACAACCUCAAGUUUCGCAUUUUGUCAAAGAUGGCAAGUGAUAUCCUGUCCAUUCCCAUCACUACAGUAGCUUCAGAAUCUGCCUUCAGCGUUGGAGAGUGAAAAAGGUACUGGAGCUGUUAUUGAAUUACCAAUCCCAAAAUGACAAGUUGCAGGUUGAAGUUUUUUUGCUAGAAGACUUUUUGGUACUUUUGAAUGAAGGGAAAUUAUUUUUUUUGCAAAGUUAAAUCAUUUUUCCCUUGCUAAAAUCAGAAGUUAAUGAAUGUUAAUAUAAUUGGACAAAAUAUAAACUUUUAUUUAUGGUUGGGUACUAUUGUACAUUUGUUGUUGGUUUCUAUGUGUUUUGCCCCAGCUGGGAAAAUGGCUAUCUAUUUUUUUGGGAUGUCUCUUUUGGUUCGCUGGGAAUUGGUAGUUUUGGUUGUAGUAAGAUUGGCUUCUUGAGGUGGCUUUUUUGGUUAUCCAUGUGCUGCUCCUAAGACUGCCGGUGGUUAUCUUUUGUAAUGACUAUCCACUUCUUUUGGUUCAUUGAUUGUAAGAUAUUGGUAGGGGUAUGAUUUGAGCUUAUAGUUGGCAAGGGUAUGGCUAACAGGUUCAUGGUGCAGAGAAAUGCCCUUCUUAAUACUUCUAAUGUUACCUUAUGCCCAGCAGGUUCACGAUGUAUAGGGGGAUGGCUCUUUAAAUACUUGUAAUGUUACUUUUCUAAUAUGUAAGAAAAUGCUUGGGGUAUGCUCUGGCUAUAAUUGUGCUGAAUUGUUUCUUUGUAUGAUUCCAUUUUACGUAAUAUAUAGCUUUGCUUAAUAUUUUUA